RNAcentral lists this ribosomal RNA (111 nucleotides) under uncultured eukaryote. RNAcentral's name for it is "partial small subunit ribosomal RNA". It matches the Rfam family "Eukaryotic small subunit ribosomal RNA", at positions 1675 to 1785 of the family's 1831-position model. The record is from RNAcentral.
GUCGCUCCUACCGAUUGGGUGUGCUGGUGAAGUGUUCGGAUUGGCAAUUAUCGGUGGCAACACCGUCGAUUGCCGAGAAGUUCAUUAAACCCUCCCACCUAGAGGAAGGAG